Long non-coding RNA from Molossus molossus (Pallas's mastiff bat), 361 nucleotides. RefSeq lists it as uncharacterized. The record is from RefSeq and is a predicted model, not a curated record. Lineage: Eukaryota; Metazoa; Chordata; Mammalia; Chiroptera; Molossidae. The transcript is spliced from 3 exons.
UCCUGUUUUACAGAUGAGUAAACUGAGGCCUAGAGGGAAGAUGGGUGCAUUUCCUGCAGCUAAAUAUUAAGUACAGGACAGAAUUUGGACUUCCAGAUUGGUUGAUCUCCGGGCCUGAUGCAGAGUUCCUGUUUGACAUCUCUGUUCUCCAUCAUCCUGAAGAGUCUCUUCAUCUCUUCAUGCUGGAUUGUGUUCUCCUACCUCUCUGGCCUUUCUUUUCUGAGUUCAUCCUUGUCCUGGUGGAGCACAAUUUCUAGCCGCAUCCUGAAAAACAUUGCCUCCUUGACAAAAGCCAUGUGAAAAAAACAGAAGAGGCAUGACUGACUACAUUUCGCAUUUGAAGAACAAAGGCUCUGAUAGA